This 484-nucleotide ribosomal RNA is filed under the name uncultured bacterium. RNAcentral describes it as "bacterial SSU rRNA". It matches the Rfam family "Bacterial small subunit ribosomal RNA", at positions 96 to 564 of the family's 1533-position model. The record is from RNAcentral.
CGGCGGAUGGGUGAGUAUCACGUGGGCAACCUGCCUGUAAGAUUGGGAUAACUCGCGGAAACGUGAGCUAAUACCGAAUGAAGUCUUUCACCACCUGGUGAAAGGAUGAAAGAUGGCUUUUAGCUAUCACUUACAGAUGGGCCCGCGGCGCAUUAGCUAGUUGGUGGGGUAAAGGCCUACCAAGGCGACGAUGCGUAGCCGACCUGAGAGGGUGAUCGGCCACACUGGGACUGAGACACGGCCCAGACUCCUACGGGAGGCAGCAGUAGGGAAUCUUCCGCAAUGGACGAAAGUCUGACGGAGCAACGCCGCGUGAGUGAUGAAGGUCUUCGGAUCGUAAAACUCUGUUGUCAGGGAAGAACAAGUUGUGUUCUAACAGGACAUGACCUUGACGGUACCUGACCAGAAAGCCCCGGCUAACUACGUGCCAGCAGCCGCGGUAAUACGUAGGGGGCAAGCGUUGUCCGGAAUUAUUGGGCGUAAA